Molecule: long non-coding RNA, 796 nt
Filed under: Panax ginseng (ginseng)
Lineage: Eukaryota; Viridiplantae; Streptophyta; Magnoliopsida; Apiales; Araliaceae
Description: long non-coding RNA (PGIN_LNC004546)
Source: RNAcentral
UAAUUUCCUCUAUAUAGGUGUAGCAGGGCUUAUUAAAGGCCAUAUGCAAAAUUUGCAUUACUAAUGGCUUGUACAUUCUGAAUACUACUCCCUCCGUUGCACAAAAAGAGCCCAGUUAGUAAACUUUGCAAAUAUUAAGUUUGUAUUUUUGUACCAUGUUUAUCCCUAUAAAUUGUUAAUUUUGUAGGGAUGGCAUGAUGAAUGAAACUUCGAUGGCGAACUUGAACACAUUGCGGAAUUUUACACUACCAUCAAAGAAAUGAGACUCUUUUGUAGAACAAACAAAAGAAGAAUUGGUAAAUGAUGCUCUUUUUCUGGAACAGAAAGAGUGUAACUUACCGAAUUUGUUUUUUUCUUCUGCAAUUUACAACUAUUCUAGGAAUCGAUUGUUUUAGUUUUUCUUCAUCAAAGUGGAGGUGUACAGAGGGUAGUUCAUAUCCCUUUCAUUAUAAUUUAUUCUGCUUGUGAUGCUGAGAAACAAAAGCUGGUUCCCAGAUUUUGCUUUAUAACUUCUCAGGUAUAUAUUGCUUAGUAUUGCUCAUGUGCUUACUAAUACAGAGCUGUUCUUAGAAAUUCUUUUUCUCUUCCUUCUACUUGCAUACUUAGUAUUGCAGGUUCUUAUAUUGAGCUGUUUCUUUACUCUUUUACAAGUUGGAGGUUUAUGCGCUGCAAUUGGCUCUGCAGGGGAAAGGUAGGCUGAGGUGCAGCAGUUAAGUAGUGAGGAUGAUGAAUGUAUCUGCAAUGGUCUGAUAGAGCAAGGUUUGUUGAUCUCUAUUGCAGCAAUGCAUCAUAACAG